This 482-nucleotide ribosomal RNA is filed under the name uncultured bacterium. RNAcentral's name for it is "partial 16S ribosomal RNA". It matches the Rfam family "Bacterial small subunit ribosomal RNA", at positions 30 to 507 of the family's 1533-position model. The record is from RNAcentral.
AUUGAACGCUGGCGGCAUGCCUUACACAUGCGAGUCGAACGGUAACGGGCCUUCGGGUGCCGACGAGUGGCGAACGGGUGAGUAAUACAUCGGAACGUGCCCGAUCGUGGGGGAUAACGAGGCGAAAGCUUUGCUAAUACCGCAUACGAUCUACGGAUGAAAGCAGGGGACCGCAAGGCCUUGCGCGGACGGAGCGGCCGAUGGCAGAUUAGGUAGUUGGUGGGAUAAAAGCUUACCAAGCCGACGAUCUGUAGCUGGGCUGAGAGGAUGAUCAGCCACACUGGGACUGAGACACGGCCCAGACUCCUACGGGAGGCAGCAGUGGGGAAUUUUGGACAAUGGGCGCAAGCCUGAUCCAGCCAUGCCGCGUGCAGGAUGAAGGCCUUCGGGUUGUAAACUGCUUUUGUACGGAACGAAAAGCCUUCUUUUAAUACAGGAGGGUCAUGACGGUACCGUAAGAAUAAGCACCGGCUAACUACGUG